This 464-nucleotide ribosomal RNA is filed under the name uncultured bacterium. Its description in RNAcentral is "partial 16S ribosomal RNA". It matches the Rfam family "Bacterial small subunit ribosomal RNA", at positions 29 to 507 of the family's 1533-position model. The record is from RNAcentral.
ACGAACGCUGGCGGCGUGCUUAACACAUGCAAGUCGAACGGAAAGGCCCUGCUUGCAGGGUACUCGAGUGGCGAACGGGUGAGUAACACGUGGGUGAUCUGCCCUGCACUUCGGGAUAAGCCUGGGAAACUGGGUCUAAUACCGGAUAGGAGCCAUUUUUAGUGUGAUGGUUGGAAAGUUUUUUCGGUGUAGGAUGAGCUCGCGGCCUAUCAGCUUGUUGGUGGGGUAAUGGCCUACCAAGGCGGCGACGGGUAGCCGGCCUGAGAGGGUGGACGGCCACAUUGGGACUGAGAUACGGCCCAGACUCCUACGGGAGGCAGCAGUGGGGAAUAUUGCACAAUGGGCGCAAUCCUGAUGCAGCGACGCCGCGUGGGGGAUGACGGCCUUCGGGUUGUAAACUCCUUUCGCUAGGGACGAAGCUUUUUGUGACGGUACCUAGAUAAGAAGCACCGGCUAACUACGUG